UGGGGAAUAUUGCACAAUGGGCGCAAGCCUGAUGCAGCCAUGCCGCGUGUGUGAAGAAGGCCUUCGGGUUGUAAAGCACUUUCAGCGAGGAGGAAGGUGGUGGACUUAAUACGUUCAUCAAUUGACGUUACUCGCAGAAGAAGCACCGGCUAACUCCGUGCCAGCAGCCGCGGUAAUACGGAGGGUGCAAGUGUUAAUCGGAAUUACUGGGCGUAAAGCGCACGCAGGCGGUUUGUUAAGUCAGAUGUGAAAUCCCCGGGCUCAACCUGGGAACUGCAUUUGAAACUGGCAAGCUAGAGUCUCGUAGAGGGGGGUAGAAUUCCAGGUGUAGCGGUGAAAUGCGUAGAGAUCUGGAGGAAUACCGGUGGCGAAGGCGGCCCCCUGGACGAAGACUGACGCUCAGGUGCGAAAGCGUGGGGAGCAAACAGGAUUAGAUACCCUGGUAGUCCACGCUGUAAACGAUGUCGAUUUUGGAGGUUGUGCCCUUGAGGCGUGGCUUCCGAAGCUAACGCGUUAAAUCGACCGCCUGGGGAGUACGGCCGCAAGGUUAAAACUCAAAGGAAUUGACGGGGUC
This 574-nucleotide ribosomal RNA is filed under the name uncultured bacterium. RNAcentral's name for it is "partial 16S ribosomal RNA". It matches the Rfam family "Bacterial small subunit ribosomal RNA", at positions 355 to 920 of the family's 1533-position model. The record is from RNAcentral.